This is a non-coding RNA of Caenorhabditis elegans, 146 nucleotides long. Lineage: Eukaryota; Metazoa; Nematoda; Chromadorea; Rhabditida; Rhabditidae. The record is from Ensembl.
AUUUAUUAUCGAGCUUCAUCGUAAAAUAAAGUGAGCUUAUUCUCUCUCGAUUAAUUUAAUAUUCAUAUGGCUCCGAUCCGAGCUCAAUUGAUGACGAAUUGUGAAACAUUACGAGGUGCGAUACCAGGUACCACUUGGUACAACUG